This 253-nucleotide ribosomal RNA is filed under the name uncultured bacterium. RNAcentral's name for it is "partial 16S ribosomal RNA". It matches the Rfam family "Bacterial small subunit ribosomal RNA", at positions 524 to 777 of the family's 1533-position model. The record is from RNAcentral.
UACAGAGGUCUCGAGCGUUGUUCGGAUUCAUUGGGCGUAAAGGGUGCGUAGGUGGCGAGGCAAGUCUGGUGUGAAAUCCCGGGGCUCAACCCCGGAACUGCACUGGAUACUACUUUGCUAGAGUACUGGAGAGGAGAUUGGAAUUUACGGUGUAGCAGUGAAAUGCGUAGAUAUCGUAAGGAAGACCAGUGGCGAAGGCGAAUCUCUGGACAGUUACUGACACUGAGGCACGAAGGCCAGGGAGCAAAGCGGG